Molecule: non-coding RNA, 1084 nt
Organism: Paramuricea clavata
Lineage: Eukaryota; Metazoa; Cnidaria; Anthozoa; Malacalcyonacea; Plexauridae
Source: the annotation of a GenBank genome assembly
AUUGUGUAAUAUGGAGAAAAUUGGUAGGGAGGAAACAUAUACGCCUUAUAAACUGCAAAAUUUAAUUGAAUGCAACUUCUUAAUUGUAUCUUAACACUGGUUUAUGAAGAGACGCUAGAGAGCGUGUUAAACAAAGUUUCAGUGGAAUUUUGCAUUGUUUACAUUUUGCUGCAAGACACUUCUACAACUUUCGCCUUGCUCGACCAGUAAGGGAACGCGACUAAUUAGCGAUAGCCAAUUAACGGAUCUUCAAAAGGUUGUAAAUUUCACACAUACAAAUACGAGCUAUAAUAUAAUAAGGGGCGGACCAUUUGAUUUUUGAGGGGGGAGGUGGAAGAUUCAGUCUGUGCAAGAAUUUUUUUUCCGCCCAGGCGAACGAGACAGAUAUUUUUUUCCUGUAAAAGUGCAGCGCGAGAUAUUUUUUUCCCAAUAUAUUUGGCCGCAGGAUAUUUUUUUUGCCUCUCAUAAUAACGGCUUACAGUAACUUUAGGCUUUCAUAUAGCUAUCAUCGGAGACGUAGCAGGGGUUUUCAGUCAGAGGAGGCCGAGAACUGAAUCCCAAGAGGGGCCAAGGAAUUUUCACUGUGCUUUAUUUUAUAUAUGGUUAUGUCUUAAUGUUCCCCACACUAAAGCGUGCAAGUUUACUUACAAAGAAUGUAUAACUGCACCAAAACCUAAAACAUGCAGGGAUAGAGUAGAGUACUCGAAAAUGGGGGAGGGUACAGUAUAUGAAUGACCUGUAACCUUGGGGGGUUCGGGGGCAUGCUCCCCCGAGAAAAUUUUAAAGUUUGAACCUCGGAAAUGCUAUUUCCUGCGUUUUCAGCCAUGGAUAAUUAUCUUAAGCCCAGAUUUUCUCAGGGGGGGGGCAACAAUUUUGCCAGGGAACACCACUGGCUAUCGUAUGUCAGAGGCUCCAAAGGCGGUAGAAUCCCUGUGAUGUUAUCCACUGUUCACCCUGUGUUCUUUUAAGCAAAUGUGCCUGCUCAAAAAUGCAAAAUCUUGCAAGCCUGUGGACACAAUACUGAAGUGAAGAGCAUCAGUAUAGUUACAUGUAGAAAUUUUUUUUUUGAGCGCUCUCUUUUGCA